Long non-coding RNA from Gopherus evgoodei (Goodes thornscrub tortoise), 169 nucleotides. RefSeq lists it as uncharacterized. The record is from RefSeq and is a predicted model, not a curated record. Lineage: Eukaryota; Metazoa; Chordata; Testudines; Testudinidae. The transcript is spliced from 3 exons.
GCCGAAAGCGCCUCCCGCCCUAGCCGCUGCGAGUAGCGGGCACCGGACCCCGCCUCUCCUACGGUGCCGCUGAUUCCGCGCUGCACCAACUACCAGAUGGGACACCACAUUCUGCAAACAAAGGUAACUGUCUGGUUUCCAUUUCCCUGGAUGGUCUCAGGGUGGCAGC